CGGCCUCCGGCCCGGCGGGCGGCGAGCUGGAGCCGCGCCAGCAGGUCGACGGUGGCGAGGCCCGGUGGCCCCAGGCCUCCGACGUCGC
RNAcentral lists this transfer RNA (88 nucleotides) under Streptomyces violaceus subsp. violarus. RNAcentral describes it as "tRNA-Ser". Lineage: Bacteria; Bacillati; Actinomycetota; Actinomycetes; Kitasatosporales; Streptomycetaceae. The record is from RNAcentral.